UACGGGGGGGGCAAGCGUUGUUCGGAAUUACUGGGCGUAAAGGGCGCGUAGGCGGCCUGCUAAGUUGGAUGUGAAAUCCCUCGGCUCAACCGAGGAACUGCAUCCGAUACUGGCGGGCUUGAAUCCGGGAGAGGGAUGUGGAAUUCCAGGUGUAGCGGUGAAAUGCGUAGAUAUCUGGAGGAACACCGGUGGCGAAGGCGGCAUCCUGGACCGGUAUUGACGCUGAGGUGCGAAAGCGUGGGGAGCAAACAGG
This 253-nucleotide ribosomal RNA is filed under the name uncultured bacterium. Its description in RNAcentral is "partial 16S ribosomal RNA". It matches the Rfam family "Bacterial small subunit ribosomal RNA", at positions 524 to 776 of the family's 1533-position model. The record is from RNAcentral.